Molecule: long non-coding RNA, 827 nt
Organism: Alexandromys fortis (reed vole)
Lineage: Eukaryota; Metazoa; Chordata; Mammalia; Rodentia; Cricetidae
Exons: 3
Source: RefSeq, a predicted model, not a curated record
ACGGCGGCUGUAGGAGAGUGACAGCUGGACCUGCACGUGCUCCAGCGAGCGGAUGAGGCGGUGCGAGCCAUCGGAGCACGCGGACACGUUCUUCCUCACCAGCAUCCGAGGCAGGAUGGAGCUGGUAAGCCACACGCGAGCCAGGUCCACCAGCAGCCCUGCGUCCAGCAGCCCGUAGCCGUAGUGGUGGCUCACUGCGCGGGAGGGGUAGCCGUCACUCGCCCUGCAUGCACGGGACCCCGGUCCCCUCCCUGGCCCCGCCGCACCUUGGCGCCCCACGCCGUUGAUCCUCCAGUCCUCCGCCUGCAGCUGCGCCGGCCUGGACGCGCGGACCACCAGGUGCUGUAGGUCCCUCCAGAGCCAGAGCGAUUAUGCCAGCGGCCAGCGGGGCGGAGGCCGAGGUGCCCGUGUGUUUGUCGGUACACUGGUGGUGCAGGUCCGUGGUGACCUGGUGACAGACAGCAGAGGGAUCUUGAGCCCAGUGCGCGGCCCAGAUGGAGGAUUUGUUUGGAAGGUACUGGGGACUAAGUUCACAAAGUGCUGAAGAUUGAGCUAAGUAUGAAGACACCUAGGACUAAGCUCAAAGGGUACUAAAAGCCCCAGCAGGGCCGGGUGAUGCAGGCGCUCAAACCCAGCACUUGUGGAGCUGUGGCAGGCGUAGCUGGGACUUCUAGGCUAGCCUGGUUUAUGUAUGGUGAAUACGAAUGACUAAGUUUAACAAGUACUGAGGACUAAGGACUAGUUUCCAAAACCACCGAGCACUGAGUUCAUAAUGAUACACGGCCCUACAUCUCAAAAAAAAAAAAAAAAAAAAAAAAAAAACGAAA